GAUUGCAGGCUGCCAACCCGCCUGCAUGAAGUCGGAAUUGUUAGUAAUCGCGGAUCAGCAUGCCGCGGUGAAUACGUUCCCGGGCCUUGUACACACCGCCCGUCACACCAUGGGAGCCGGUAAUACCCGAAGUCAGUAGUCCAACCUCGUGAGGACGCUGCCGAAGGUAGGAUUGGCGACUGGGGUGAAGUCGUAACAAGGUACC
Molecule: ribosomal RNA, 205 nt
Filed under: uncultured bacterium
Lineage: Bacteria
Description: partial 16S ribosomal RNA
Rfam family: Bacterial small subunit ribosomal RNA
Source: RNAcentral